RNAcentral lists this ribosomal RNA (250 nucleotides) under uncultured bacterium. Its description in RNAcentral is "partial 16S ribosomal RNA". It matches the Rfam family "Bacterial small subunit ribosomal RNA", at positions 1248 to 1500 of the family's 1533-position model. The record is from RNAcentral.
AGCGAGGCUGUGAAGCGGAGCAAAUCUCAAAAACCGGUCCCAGUUCGGAUUGUAGGCUGCAACUCGCCUUCAUGAAGUCGGAAUUACUAGUAAUGGCAGGUCAGCAUACUGCCGUGAAUACGUUCCCGGGCCUUGUACACACCGCCCGUCACACCAUGAGAGUUGGGAAUACCCGAAGCCUGUGAGCCAACAAACGAGGCAGCAGUCGAAGGUAGAAUCAAUGAUUGGGGUGAAGUCGUAACAAGGUAUC